Molecule: long non-coding RNA, 269 nt
Filed under: Hordeum vulgare
Lineage: Eukaryota; Viridiplantae; Streptophyta; Magnoliopsida; Poales; Poaceae
Description: long non-coding RNA (HVUL_LNC017697)
Source: RNAcentral
AUUCUUCUUUAGUUAGGUACUGCCAUCAAUGAGUUUGCUAAGAAAGAUCCCGGUGGAAUAUUUGGCCUGCUUACUAACUUAUAGGCUUCAGAGGGGACCCUUUCUCGCCCAGCCCUACCUACAGGGAGUGUAGGAUUUCGUUCGCAACUCUUUUUCCUAGAAAUCUCAAUCCAGCGAGUCACUACUCUUUUUCUCAAACAAGAAGCUGACAAAGAGAUCCAUCCAUUUGAUUUUCCCAAGAGACUGGUUUGAUUCCACCAGAGUCUCUC